ACUCCGCGUCCUAUCCUGAAAACCGUCGUCCCACUUCCCCCGAGCGCCAUGCCCCUCCUUGUGUCCUCACGCGGGUCUGGCAGCGCCCUCCCCUAUGGGCAGGGGUCCGCUACGGCGGGGACAACGGCGGGCCGGCGGCGCCGCCAUGGACUAUUAGCACUUCUUCCCGGAAAGAUCGACCCCAUACCCCCACAACAAUGACGAGGAGAUGGGGACGGGCGGCGGAGGCGGCAAGUCCCUGUGCAGGUCGCUGGGACAACGCCAGAUAGAUCAGCUACGGCACCGCGAGGGAGGAGAGGCGGAGACACAUUAGCCACGGUGGGAAGAGAUCGGCGGGGUUCUCCGCCGAAAACAUGCCCAAGGUCAUUGUAUCCCUCGCCCAAAUCCUACCUCCAGGGUCGUGGCGGGAAUCGAAUUCCAACGCCCCCCAGCGUUCUGUAGCGCAGCGUCCUCCCGCAGAUUCCUCGGCAUGGACUCCCCAGGGACCGUUCUACAUCGUCCGGGAGAUCCUGUGCUUGAUUGGCAAGCGUUCCAUCUAUGGGAGCAAGUUGCUUAAAAAACCACAGAAUAUGUUCAUCUGACAAAAGAGCUUACCACCAUAUGUGAGAGCAUUGAGUGGCAGGUGGAUGAGUUGGAAAGAAAAUUUCAGGUGCAUCAACAGAAUCCAACAUUUGACUGACUCGAUGAAGUUGAACUCUCUAGACGACGGAACUGAACUAUCUUUUGCUCAUAAUCAGGAAAGUUGCUCUGGAGCUUGCUGGAAAAUGCGACAUUGCUGAUUUUGAUUCUCAGGUUAAGUCAGAGAAACUAGGCAUCAGGUUCGUGAGUGAUCCACUACCAUGGAGCAAAGAUGAUGUAUUAGGCAUGUGUUCUAUAUUCUAUAUCUGGCCUUCGAGUCCAUCGGCGCCGACGCUGCCGAGUGGUGGACACCCGCGUUUGAGUUCCGCAUCGACGCUCCGCUCCGCUCCACGCUUCACUUGCCGCAGGGGAGCUCCGCGAGGUCCAGAAUGAAUAUUGCUCCUAUGAUGCAACAGCGAGAGGCAUGGACGUCCGUCCAAAUGGACUCGUUCCUUGACAUGGUGCGCAAGUGCAAGGAGACAGAGAACUCCAAUUGUCCAUAAGUUUAGUGGGUCUGAGUUUUCUUUCUUGAUCGAUCGGAAGCCACGGUUCAGGUCGAUCGAUUCCCAAGCUACACUCUGAAUCAUAUGAAGGAUUGAUACAUAUUGACUUGAUUGUAUAUUUUUUUAUUGGAUUUUAAGGAGUGUUUGUGAAGUUCAUCCCCAGUUGGAUCUCACUGUGGGAACUUUGAAUGUUACAAUGGAGGGAGGGGCUAUUGCCAGUGCUAGCCGUGCGGCGGCGGCAAGUACAGACAAUGGUCGCUUGGAAAGAGUGGUGGAAGAGGACGAGGAUGUGGCUAAGACUCACGGCCUCCUAGACGAGAAGAUGACCCUGAUUAUGUAUGAGAAUUUCAUUUUUCCUGCCAUGUAUGUCGCGAUUUAGUUGGACAUGCCAACUUUGAUAUGAGCAACAAUGCAGGGUCUUGAGGGCAGCAGAGAGAAACUUGAGCGCGCAGAAGAGGGAGAGGAGUCACAAGCCGAUGCUACAUCGACGGGCAAGGUGGCAGUGGCUACAUCUACAAGUCAACAACCAUCGCCACCAAACGCCUUCUGCCACACUGCACGAACUCGCCUAUGCAUAGACCAUACCCACUUUGACUCCUCGCCCAUUUUAUUUUCACCAUCUUCUCUAUCGCUGGCAUUUUCCCCUGCCAGAUCUAUUUGCACGCUUAAGAAGACUGGUUUUUUUUUUGAUGAAGGUUCCCUUGUUGACUAAAUGCACCUAGAAAAUAUGGCUCUUAUUCUUCUUUGAACUAUCACUGUCACAGUAUGUGCUUCUGUUAUCCAAGCAACUCCAUGGUUGUUGGUGUUGCUCUCUUUUCUAGCCAGGUUCACCCUUAAGAAGACUCCAUGGUGGACAUACACUUUGAAGCAUAUUACAGAAUCAGAGCUAAUAUAAUCACGCACCACUAUCAUGACUGAAAUCUCUCCUUGAUUAUAAAUGUUUAUCUUCAGUACUAACCUUUUCUGUGACGCUGUCAGGGACUAUGAAAAGAUCCUCGUGACCUCACACUCAACAAGAACAAGUUGAAGGCAUAAUAAGUAUUCUAGGAAGCUAGGAGGAGUCGCCCCGCUCCCACCUGCAACCAGAAUCUGCCAAUAAAUGUGUAUUUCUAGGAUUUUUUUGCGUUUGG
Molecule: non-coding RNA, 2251 nt
Organism: Lolium perenne
Lineage: Eukaryota; Viridiplantae; Streptophyta; Magnoliopsida; Poales; Poaceae
Source: RefSeq, a predicted model, not a curated record